Molecule: ribosomal RNA, 837 nt
Filed under: uncultured bacterium
Lineage: Bacteria
Description: bacterial SSU rRNA
Rfam family: Bacterial small subunit ribosomal RNA
Source: RNAcentral
AAUCAACGCUGGCGGCGUGCCUAACACAUGCAAGUCGAACGAGAAAGUGGAGCAAUCCAUGAGUAAAGUGGCGCACGGGUGAGUAACACGUGACUAACCUACCCUUGAGUUCGGAAUAACUUCGGGAAACCGAGGCUAAUACCGGAUAACAUCUACGGAUCAAAGGAGCAAUUCGCUUAAGGAGGGGGUCGCGGCUGAUUAGCUAGUUGGUGAGGUAAUGGCUCACCAAGGCAGUGAUCAGUAUCCGGCCUGAGAGGGCGCACGGACACACUGGAACUGAAACACGGUCCAGACUCCUACGGGAGGCAGCAGUGGGGAAUUUUGCACAAUGGGGGAAACCCUGAUGCAGCAACGCCGCGUGGAGGAUGAAGCCCCUUGGGGCGUAAACUCCUUUCGACCGGGACGAUAAUGACGGUACCGGUGGAAGAAGCCCCGGCUAACUCUGUGCCAGCAGCCGCGGUAAUACAGAGGGGGCAAGCGUUGUUCGGAAUUAUUGGGCGUAAAGGGUGCGUAGGCGGUGCGGUAAGUCUCUUGUGAAAUCUCCGGGCUCAACUCGGAGCCUGCAAGGGAAACUGUCGUGCUUGAGUAUGGGAGAGGUGAGUGGAAUUCCCGGUGUAGAGGUGAAAUUCGUAGAUAUCGGGAGGAACACCAGAGGCGAAGGCGGCGACCUGGAAGGUAACUGACACUGAGCAGCGAAAGCGUGGGGAGCAAACAGGAUUAGAUACCCUGGUAGUCCACGCCGUAAACGAUGGAUGUUAGCUGUGGCGGGAGUUGACCCCUGCCGUGGCGACGCCAACGCAAUAAGCAUCCCGCCUGGGAAGUACGGCCGCAAGGCUA